GAGAAUGUGGAGGGAGUAAGAAGUGAGUAGGAUGGGUCCAGGAUAUGACUGUCUUUAAAAGUCAAAGGAUUUUAUAUUUGGCACGAAAGGUAAUAGGGAAAUACUGGAAUUUACUGAAUGGGAAGAAAGACAGUGGUAGGACACGGAAGAUAACAACAGCAAUAACAACAUUUAUAAACCACUUUUUAUGCCUUGGGCACUGUGCUAAAUGCUUUGCAAUCAUGUCGUUUGAUCCUCACAACAACCAGGGAGAGAUGAAGAGAUCACUCAGAUACUCUUGUGUGCAGAUAACUCCUGAUUUCAUCAGACCUCAUAAUAUUACAAAGUCUUCACAAGUACGUUGUUCAAGAUUAUUCAUGAAGGGUAAAGAAACUCCUUAACUAGAAGAAAAAGCUCUUUCCUGCAGGCAAUAGGAUGGACAAUCCAAGUGGUUCAUAUUUCAGUUGAUGCAUCAUGGAAGGAUAGGUUACUACAAAUUGGAAGUGAGCCUAGCCCACAGUUCAACGAAGGAGUAAUGCAAGCUUGAUUUGCCUCCGGGAAAUUGUGCAGAGCUUUUAAUGACCCAAAGCUUCUCCCAGAAACUCAAGCCCAUCUGUUUUAAAAAACUGUAAUCUAGUGAUGAUGUUGAAUAAGGGCAUGUCAUGUAAUGUCACAAGUUUCCAAAGAACUAAAGUUGCAUUUUCCCCAAAGAGUAAGGGAGAGCACGAUAUGUACAAAUAAAUGAUAGCAAUGAGCACGUAUGCA
RNAcentral lists this long non-coding RNA (744 nucleotides) under Monodelphis domestica (gray short-tailed opossum). Its description in RNAcentral is "lncRNA (ENSMODG00000030785.2)". Lineage: Eukaryota; Metazoa; Chordata; Mammalia; Didelphimorphia; Didelphidae. The record is from RNAcentral.